This is a non-coding RNA of Phoenix dactylifera (date palm), 512 nucleotides long. NCBI's taxonomy places the organism in Eukaryota, Viridiplantae, Streptophyta, Magnoliopsida, Arecales, Arecaceae. The record is from RefSeq and is a predicted model, not a curated record.
AUCCAUUAGCAACAGUCCUUAGUGCUGCAAUGCUAUUGCGGUAUGGCCUUGGUGAAGAGAAUGCUGCAAAAAGGAUUGAGACUGCAGUAAUGGAAACACAAAUAGAGUUUUCGAACUGGUGACAUAAUUUCUACAGGCAUGACAUUGGUAGGGUGCAAGAGGAUGGGAGUGGAAGUGCUGAGGUCUGUCGAUUCCCAGACAGCAUUAACUGCCUCACUCUGAAAUCAUUUGUUCACUGACAUCGCAAAGGGGAGAGUUGCUAGAAAGAUCUUAAACCAAGGAGAUGCAUUACAGGGAAGAACUGCAUGAUUAUAUUCUCUGAUGAAUUUAUGAUAGUCUCUUACUAAAGGACAAUUCAUAGACGUUAUUCAAGGACAAUAUAUGCUUGAAACUCAAUGUUGUAUGCGAUUCUGGCGAAGGUUUGCAUAUGAUUUUGCAUGUUUGCAGGAUUGAGUCUUUAUUUUUAACUGUCAGAUGGCUUUGAAUAAAAUUAUAGAAAAGGUUUUGUCAUC